UUUAUAGGAAGCAAAAAGAAUACAAUAAAUUAACCAACCAGAGUAAUAUAAAGGGAACAAACAUUAUAAAGCUUUCUACAAGGAAUCACUAAUAGAGAGUUUCUAAACCAUUUAACUUGCUAGAAGUUCAUACACACCAAUUGUAAUUGUAUCAAAGGUGAACCACUGAUAAAAGUCGUACUAUGUUAGAGAGAAAGAAUCGCUUUCUUCCAAUACCUUCAUCUCUGCGUUUAGCCUUCCUUUUUCUUCCACUUCAGUUCCUUCCAAGGCUGUUCUGGCUGUUGCUCUCUCUCUUUUUCUACCACUGACAUUGAUGUUUCCUCUGUCAUCUUUAGAGGAGGUGCUUCAUCCUAAACACAAAAA
This 363-nucleotide long non-coding RNA is filed under the name Capsella rubella. Its description in RNAcentral is "long non-coding RNA (CRUB_LNC005128)". Lineage: Eukaryota; Viridiplantae; Streptophyta; Magnoliopsida; Brassicales; Brassicaceae. The record is from RNAcentral.